AUACGUAGGUAGCGAGCGUUAUCCGGAAUUAUUGGGCGUAAAGGGUGCGUAGGCGGUUUCUUAAGUCUGAUGUGAAAGCCCCCGGCUCAACCGGGGAGGGUCAUUGGAAACUGGGAAACUUGAGUGCAGAAGAGGAGAGUGGAAUUCCAUGUGUAGCGGUGAAAUGCGUAGAUAUUAGGAGGAACACCAGUUGCGAAGGCGGCUUUCUGGACUGUAACUGACACUGAGGCACGAAAGCGUGGGGAGC
This 247-nucleotide ribosomal RNA is filed under the name uncultured bacterium. RNAcentral describes it as "partial 16S ribosomal RNA". It matches the Rfam family "Bacterial small subunit ribosomal RNA", at positions 523 to 769 of the family's 1533-position model. The record is from RNAcentral.